Molecule: ribosomal RNA, 253 nt
Filed under: uncultured bacterium
Lineage: Bacteria
Description: partial 16S ribosomal RNA
Rfam family: Bacterial small subunit ribosomal RNA
Source: RNAcentral
UACAUGGGGUGCAAACGUUGCUCGGAAUUAUUGGGCGUAAAGGGUGCGUAGGCGGUUUGGUAAGUCUUAUGUGAAAUCUACAGGCUCAACUUGUAGUCUGCAUGAGAAACUGCCGGGCUUGAGUAUGGGAGAGGUGAGUGGAAUUCCUGGUGUAGCGGUGAAAUGCGUAGAUAUCAGGAGGAACACCUGUGGCGAAAGCGGCUCACUGGACCAUAACUGACGCUGAUGCACGAAAGCUAGGGGAGCAAACAGG